UACGAAGGGGGCUAGCGUUGCUCGGAAUCACUGGGCGUAAAGCGCACGUAGGCGGAUCUUUAAGUCAGGGGUGAAAUCCCAAGGCUCAACCUUGGAACUGCCUUUGAUACUGAAGAUCUUGAGUUCGGGAGAGGUGAGUGGAACUGCGAGUGUAGAGGUGAAAUUCGUAGAUAUUCGCAAGAACACCAGUGGCGAAGGCGGCUCACUGGCCCGAUACUGACGCUGAGGUGCGAAAGCGUGGGGAGCAAACAGG
RNAcentral lists this ribosomal RNA (253 nucleotides) under uncultured bacterium. RNAcentral's name for it is "partial 16S ribosomal RNA". It matches the Rfam family "Bacterial small subunit ribosomal RNA", at positions 524 to 776 of the family's 1533-position model. The record is from RNAcentral.